Non-coding RNA from Sturnus vulgaris (Common starling), 75 nucleotides. NCBI's taxonomy places the organism in Eukaryota, Metazoa, Chordata, Aves, Passeriformes, Sturnidae. The record is from RefSeq and is a predicted model, not a curated record.
AACUUUCUGUGCCACAAUUUCUGCCCCUUGCCUCGUGUCCCAUUGCUCAGCACCACCAAGAAGAGCCUGGCUCCG